Molecule: non-coding RNA, 168 nt
Organism: Danio rerio (zebrafish)
Lineage: Eukaryota; Metazoa; Chordata; Actinopteri; Cypriniformes; Danionidae
Source: RefSeq, a predicted model, not a curated record
CUGCUACGGACUAAAGGUUUAGCUUCUGGUUUGAUUGGAGAACAAGCUCUUACGGUGUUUGCCGUACGGUGCAAGGUGUACGGUGUUUGGCCUAUUGUAUAAGGUGUUUGAUGUUGACAACGGCGUCAGUGAAGUGAAUGCUGCACUGAAAUAAAUCAUGGGAAAACA